This 376-nucleotide transfer-messenger RNA is filed under the name Ureaplasma sp. It matches the Rfam family "transfer-messenger RNA". From Rfam's summary of the family: Bacterial tmRNA, also known as 10Sa RNA or SsrA, is named for its dual tRNA and mRNA-like properties. Its role is to liberate the mRNA from a stalled ribosome. To accomplish this part of the tmRNA is used as a reading frame that ends in a translation stop signal. Lineage: Bacteria; Bacillati; Mycoplasmatota; Mycoplasmoidales; Mycoplasmoidaceae. RNAcentral also lists the same sequence under 1 other name. The record is from RNAcentral.
GGGGGUGUCACGGGUUCGACAGAAUAGAUGAACUAUUAAAUGCAGUGGGGUCUGCCCCUUACAGCUCGAGGUUUAAUAAAUGCAGAUGAAACAAAUUUAAAUGAACAAAGUUCAUUUGACAUCAAUUUAUUAUCACAAAACCAAAAUUUAUACGCUUUUGCGUAAGAUUUAAUUAGUCUUUUAUUUUUUAAAACUUAUUAAAUCAUAGCCUAUUUAAUAUAGGCACAAAAAUUUAUUAUUGUUAAAAUAAAUCCUUUUGCUUAUUUUCACGUUUAUGGCAACAAUAAUAUCUUAUUUAUUUUGAAAAUAAGAUAAACUGUAGACUUUAAUAGGAAUUUUAUUUUGGAAAGGGGUUCAACUCCCCUCAUCUCCACCA